AUACGGAGGGUGCAAGCGUUAAUCGGAAUUACUGGGCGUAAAGCGUACGUAGGCGGUUCGUUAAGUUAGAUGUGAAAGCCCCGGGCUUAACCUGGGAACUUCAUUUAAAACUGGCGGACUAGAGUUGAGUAGAGGGGAGUGGAAUUUCAGGUGUAGCGGUGAAAUGCGUAGAGAUCUGAAGGAACACCAGUGGCGAAGGCGACUCCCUGGACUCGAGCUGACGCUGAGGUACGAAAGCGUGGGUAGCAAACGGGAUUAGAAACCCCAGUAGUCC
Molecule: ribosomal RNA, 274 nt
Filed under: uncultured bacterium
Lineage: Bacteria
Description: partial 16S ribosomal RNA
Rfam family: Bacterial small subunit ribosomal RNA
Source: RNAcentral